UAUAACUCAGCCCUAGGUGAGACACCAA
This 28-nucleotide non-coding RNA is filed under the name Mus musculus (house mouse). The record is from RNAcentral. Lineage: Eukaryota; Metazoa; Chordata; Mammalia; Rodentia; Muridae.